RNAcentral lists this ribosomal RNA (253 nucleotides) under uncultured bacterium. Its description in RNAcentral is "partial 16S ribosomal RNA". It matches the Rfam family "Bacterial small subunit ribosomal RNA", at positions 524 to 776 of the family's 1533-position model. The record is from RNAcentral.
UACGUAGGGUGCGAGCGUUAAUCGGAAUUACUGGGCGUAAAGCGUGCGUAGGUGGUUUGUUAAGUCUGUUGUGAAAGCCCCGGGCUCAACCUGGGAAUGGCAAUGGAUACUGGCAGGCUAGAGUGCGGUAGAGGGUAGUGGAAUUCCCGGUGUAGCGGUGAAAUGCGUAGAGAUCGGGAGGAACACCAGUGGCGAAGGCGGCUACCUGGACCAGCACUGACACUGAGGCACGAAAGCGUGGGGAGCAAACAGG